Molecule: long non-coding RNA, 171 nt
Organism: Nothoprocta perdicaria
Lineage: Eukaryota; Metazoa; Chordata; Aves; Tinamiformes; Tinamidae
Exons: 3
Source: RefSeq, a predicted model, not a curated record
GAGCGCCUUGACGGCAACGAGGAAGUGGUACGAGGACUCGUGCGAGGACUGGAGCCCAYCAGGGAGCUUCUUUUUCCUGAACAAAGGCGCCGUCCCAGAGGACACCCGAGUUGACCAGGAGUCYGUGGAUACAUCGACACCGAUCCAUAUCCAGAGGCCGGAGAGCGUCGU